This 171-nucleotide ribosomal RNA is filed under the name Sebastapistes tinkhami (darkspotted scorpionfish). RNAcentral's name for it is "partial small subunit ribosomal RNA". The record is from RNAcentral. Lineage: Eukaryota; Metazoa; Chordata; Actinopteri; Perciformes; Scorpaenidae.
CACCGCGGUUAUACGGGUGGCCCAAGUUGAUAAUUUUCGGCGUAAAGGGUGGUUAAGGAACUAUUUAAACUAAAGCCGAAAGACUUCCCAGCUGUUAUACGCAGAUACGAACGAAAGAAGCUCAACCACGAAAGUGGCUUUAUUAACCCUGACCCCACGAAAGCUAUGGCA